UCCGCUCAUGAUCGCGUCGGUGCCCCGAGAGGGGCUGAAAACGGGAAUAUGGUGCGGGCCGCCCGGCCCAAAUCCAUAGCUGUCCCUGCAACUGUAAGCGGCGAGCGCGAUGCACUGGCCCGGAUCCGUCCGGGCGGCCACUGGCGGAUGCCAACAUCCGCUGGGAAGGCGUGCAUCAAGCCCUGACCCGUGAGCCAGGAGACCUGCCGGCGUCGUGGUCGCUCU
This 225-nucleotide non-coding RNA is filed under the name Sphingomonas panacis. The record is from RNAcentral. Lineage: Bacteria; Pseudomonadati; Pseudomonadota; Alphaproteobacteria; Sphingomonadales; Sphingomonadaceae.